RNAcentral lists this ribosomal RNA (1110 nucleotides) under Eudoraea sp. RNAcentral describes it as "bacterial SSU rRNA". It matches the Rfam family "Bacterial small subunit ribosomal RNA", at positions 60 to 1165 of the family's 1533-position model. The record is from RNAcentral. Lineage: Bacteria; Pseudomonadati; Bacteroidota; Flavobacteriia; Flavobacteriales; Flavobacteriaceae.
AGUCGGACGGUAACAGGGAUUGCUUGCAAUCCGCUGACGAGUGGCGCACGGGUGCGCAACGCGUAUAGAACCUACCCUUUACAGGGGGAUAGCCCAGAGAAAUUUGGAUUAAUACCCCGUAGUACCUAUUAGAGGCAUUUCUAAUAGGUUAUAGUUUUCGAACGGUAAAGGAUGGCUAUGCGUCUUAUUAGCUAGUAGGUAAGGUAACGGCUUACCUAGGCUACGAUAAGUAGGGGCCCUGAGAGGGGGAUCCCCCACACUGGUACUGAGACACGGACCAGACUCCUACGGGAGGCAGCAGUGAGGAAUAUUGGACAAUGGGCGGAAGCCUGAUCCAGCCAUGCCGCGUGCAGGAAGACGGCCCUAUGGGUUGUAAACUGCUUUUAUACGGGAAGAAUAAGGGAUACGUGUAUCCUGGUGACGGUACCGUAAGAAUAAGGACCGGCUAACUCCGUGCCAGCAGCCGCGGUAAUACGGAGGGUCCGAGCGUUAUCCGGAAUUAUUGGGUUUAAAGGGUCCGCAGGCGGGCAAUUAAGUCAGAGGUGAAAUGGUGCGGCUCAACCGUAGCACUGCCUUUGAUACUGGUUGUCUUGAGUCAUGGUGGAGUGGCCGGAAUAUGUAGUGUAGCGGUGAAAUGCAUAGAUAUUACAUAGAACACCGAUCGCGAAGGCAGGUCACUAACCAUGUACUGACGCUGAUGGACGAAAGCGUGGGGAGCGAACGGGAUUAGAUACCCCGGUAGUCCACGCCGUAAACGAUGGAUACUAGCUGUCCGCUGCCUUGAGCAGUGGGCGGCCAAGCGAAAGUGAUAAGUAUCCCACCUGGGGAGUACGUUCGCAAGAAUGAAACUCAAAGGAAUUGACGGGGGCCCGCACAAGCGGUGGAGCAUGUGGUUUAAUUCGAUGAUACGCGAGGAACCUUACCAGGGCUUAAAUGCAGAAUGACAGGUUUAGAGAUAGACUUUUCUUCGGACAUUUUGCAAGGUGCUGCAUGGUUGUCGUCAGCUCGUGCCGUGAGGUGUCAGGUUAAGUCCUAUAACGAGCGCAACCCCUGCCGUCAGUUGCCAGCAAGUAAUGUUGGGGACUCUGACGGGACUGCCGGUGCAAACCG